CCUACGGGAGGCAGCAGUGGGGAAUAUUGCACAAUGGGGGAAAGCCUGAUGCAGCAACGCCGCGUGAGUGAAGAAGUACCUCGGUAUGUAAAGCUCUAUCAGCAGGGAAGAAAAUGACGGUACCUGACCAAGAAGCCACUGCAAACUACGUACCAGCAGCCGCGGUAAUACGUAGGGGACACGCGUUAUCCGGAUUUACUGGGUUUAAAGGGAAUGUAGACGGUGUGGCAGGUCUGAAGUUAAAGCCCGGGGCUUAACGCCGGGACUGCCUUUGAAACUGUCUUGCUGGAGUGUGGGAGAGGUGAGCGGAAUUCCUAGUGUAGCGGUGAAAUGCGUAGAUAUUAGGCGGAACACCAGUGGCGAAGGCGGCUUACUGGACCGUAACUGACGUUGAUGCUCGAAAGCGUGGGUAGCAAACAGGAUUAGAUACCCUUGUAGUC
RNAcentral lists this ribosomal RNA (440 nucleotides) under uncultured bacterium. RNAcentral describes it as "partial 16S ribosomal RNA". It matches the Rfam family "Bacterial small subunit ribosomal RNA", at positions 338 to 795 of the family's 1533-position model. The record is from RNAcentral.